AGCGAACCGGAUUAGAUACCCGGGUAGUCCACGCCGUAAACGAUGGAUACUAGCUGUNGGAGGUAUCGACCCCUUCAGUAGCGAAGCUAACGCGUUAAGUAUCCCGCCUGUGGAGUACGGUCGCAAGACUAAAACAUAAAGGAAUUGACGGGGACCCGCACAAGCGGUGGAUCGUGUUCUUUAAUUCGAUGAUAAACGAAGAACCUUACCAGGGUUUGACAUCCUUGGAAUUUCUGUGAAAGCAGAGAGUGCUUUAUUGAGCCAAGUGACAGGUGAUGCAUGGCCGUCGUCAGCUCGUGUCGUGAGAUGUUUGGUUAAGUCCAUCAACGAGCGCAACCCUUGUGAAUAGUUGUAUUUUUCUAUUCAGACUGCCCCGGUAACGGGGAGGAAGGAGGGGAUGAUGUCAGGUCAGUAUUUCCCUUACACCCUGGGCUAGAAACACGAUACAAUGGUUAGUACAAUGCGCANGCGAAGCCGCGAGGUGGAGCAAAUCGCAUCAAAGCUAAUCUCAGUUCGGAUAAGAGGCUGAAACUCGCCUCUUUGAAGUCGGAAUCGCUAGUAAUCGCAGAUCAGCAAGCUGCGGUGAAUACGUUCCCGGGUCUUGUACACACCGCCCGUCAAACCAUGAAAGUGACCAACACCCGAAGUCCGAUUCGUCGGCCUAAGGUGGGGGGCAUGAUUGGGGUU
Molecule: ribosomal RNA, 687 nt
Filed under: uncultured Candidatus Saccharibacteria bacterium
Lineage: Bacteria; Candidatus Saccharimonadota
Description: bacterial SSU rRNA
Rfam family: Bacterial small subunit ribosomal RNA
Source: RNAcentral